Rattus norvegicus (Norway rat) is the source of this 409-nucleotide non-coding RNA. NCBI's taxonomy places the organism in Eukaryota, Metazoa, Chordata, Mammalia, Rodentia, Muridae. The record is from RefSeq and is a predicted model, not a curated record.
CUUAGGCACCCUCUUUCACAAUGUUCUUAGCCUUAGGUGUGGGGGUGUUUUGUAGAUAUAGCCAGAGACCUGACUCUAUAACCAUGAAUAUCGAUUAGUGGUGGCUUUCUGUAGUGGUCUCUGUGUGUUGCAAAGAAAAAUGUCCUUGAUGGAAGAUGAAGACUAUGGGCAUUCGUGGGUAUAAAGGUUGUGGCAUAGUUGUGUGUGGGUCUUUUGGCCACAGGCAGAGACAUUUCAUGGAGACGUCCUCCGGGAAGAAAUGUAGUGGAUGAAACGUUUGCCUGUGUUCUUCAUUAUUGAGGUGGCCCUUUAAUUGUUUCCAAAAUCGAUUUUCAAUUAGUGGUGGCUCGACAUUUCAUAUUAGCUGUUAAAAUCGUGAACAAUGGUACAAAACAGAAUAAAGCCGGUG